GACGAACGCUGGCGGCGUGCUUAACACAUGCAAGUCGAACGGAAAGGCCCUGCUUUUGUGGGGUGCUCGAGUGGCGAACGGGUGAGUAACACGUGAGUAACCUGCCCUUGACUUUGGGAUAACUUCAGGAAACUGGGGCUAAUACCGGAUAGGAGCUCCUGCUGCAUGGUGGGGGUUGGAAAUUUUCGGCGGUUGGGGAUGGACUCGCGGCUUAUCAGCUUGUUGGUGGGGUAGUGGCUUACCAAGGCUUUGACGGGUAGCCGGCCUGAGAGGGUGACCGGCCACAUUGGGACUGAGAUACGGCCCAGACUCCUACGGGAGGCAGCAGUGGGGAAUAUUGCACAAUGGGCGGAAGCCUGAUGCCGCAACGCCGCGUGCGGGAUGACGGCCUUCGGGUUGUAAACCGCUUUCGCCUGUGACGAAGCGUGAGUGACGGUAAUGGGUAAAGAAGCACCGGCUAACUACGUG
RNAcentral lists this ribosomal RNA (468 nucleotides) under uncultured bacterium. RNAcentral describes it as "partial 16S ribosomal RNA". It matches the Rfam family "Bacterial small subunit ribosomal RNA", at positions 28 to 507 of the family's 1533-position model. The record is from RNAcentral.